RNAcentral lists this ribosomal RNA (222 nucleotides) under uncultured bacterium. Its description in RNAcentral is "partial 16S ribosomal RNA". It matches the Rfam family "Bacterial small subunit ribosomal RNA", at positions 109 to 334 of the family's 1533-position model. The record is from RNAcentral.
AGUAAUGUAUGGGGAUCUGCCCGAUAGAGGGGGAUAACUACUGGAAACGGUGGCUAAUACCGCAUAAUGUCUACGGACCAAAGCAGGGGCUCUUCGGACCUUGCACUAUCGGAUGAACCCAUAUGGGAUUAGCUAGUAGGUGGGGUAAAGGCUCACCUAGGCGACGAUCUCUAGCUGGUCUGAGAGGACGAUCAGCCACACUGGGACUGAGACACGGCCCAG